GACGAACGCUGGCGGCGUGCUUAACACAUGCAAGUCGAACGGAAAGGCCCUGCUUUUGUGGGGUGCUCGAGUGGCGAACGGGUGAGUAACACGUGAGUAACCUGCCCUUGACUUUGGGAUAACUUCAGGAAACUGGGGCUAAUACCGGAUAGGAGCUCCUGCUGCAUGGUGGGGGUUGGAAAGUUUCGGCGGUUGGGGAUGGACUCGCGGCUUAUCAGCUUGUUGGUGGGGUAGUGGCUUACCAAGGCUUUGACGGGUAGCCGGCCUGAGAGGGUGACCGGCCACAUGGGGAGGGGGGUGCGGCCAAAACUCCUACGGGAGGAAGGAGGGGGGAAUAUGGCAAAAGGGGCGGAGGCCUGAUGGAGCAACGCCGGGUGGGGAAGGACGGCCUUCGGGUGGGAAACCCUUUUCCCCGGUGACGAAGGGGGAGUGACGGUAAUGGGAAAAAAAGCACCGGCUAACUACGU
RNAcentral lists this ribosomal RNA (467 nucleotides) under uncultured bacterium. RNAcentral's name for it is "partial 16S ribosomal RNA". It matches the Rfam family "Bacterial small subunit ribosomal RNA", at positions 28 to 506 of the family's 1533-position model. The record is from RNAcentral.